RNAcentral lists this non-coding RNA (20 nucleotides) under Arabidopsis thaliana (thale cress). The record is from RNAcentral. Lineage: Eukaryota; Viridiplantae; Streptophyta; Magnoliopsida; Brassicales; Brassicaceae.
UAAACUUUCACCAAAGCUUA